UGGGAAGUAUUGCAUCAAUGGCAGGCAAGCCAUGACUGCAGCCAUGCCCGCCAUGUAUGAAGAAGGCCAAUUCGGGCUUUGGUUAAAGAUACUUUCAGCGAGGAGGAAGGCAUUAAGGUUAAUAACCUUAGUGAUUGACGUUACUCGCAGAAGAAGCACCGGCUAACUCCGUGCCAGCAGCCGCGGUAAUACAGAGGGUGCAAGCGUUAAUCGGAAUUACUGGGCGUAAAGCGCACGCAGGCGGUCUGUCAAGUCGGAUGUGAAAUCCCCGGGCUCAACCUGGGAACUGCAUUCGAAACUGGCAGGCUAGAGUCUUGUAGAGGG
Molecule: ribosomal RNA, 324 nt
Filed under: uncultured Enterobacteriaceae bacterium
Lineage: Bacteria; Pseudomonadati; Pseudomonadota; Gammaproteobacteria; Enterobacterales; Enterobacteriaceae
Description: bacterial SSU rRNA
Rfam family: Bacterial small subunit ribosomal RNA
Source: RNAcentral